GACUGUGCUCCCAAGAUAACUUU
RNAcentral lists this microRNA (23 nucleotides) under Macaca fascicularis (crab-eating macaque). RNAcentral's name for it is "novel_miR40-3p". The record is from RNAcentral. Lineage: Eukaryota; Metazoa; Chordata; Mammalia; Primates; Cercopithecidae.